UAACAAAUUAAUAUUAGUAUUAUAAGAAAAUUCAUGCUAUCCAGUGAGUUUACUCGUAAGUAAAACUUUUCGCACAGUGAAUUUUUGACAUGCGAUUACAGAUAGUCAAUUAAUUCCAUGUGUAUAAUACACGCAGACAUCAAAUUACAAUAUCUCGACGGAAGUUCGACAGUUAAUUGGACAAAAAAUAGUCCUAUCCGGAUACGAGAUGGUUCUAAAAAAAACUCUGCUUUGCACAUGUCGAUGUAAUGUUCCGGUCUAAAAAAAAAACGUCUGUAGAUAUUAACGUUCUUAAUCUUGACUACCAUUUAUAAUUGAUGCUCCUAAUUUUCUAUACUCAAGUAUUUCCAUUUAAAUUCUAAUAUUGUUUUAAUAUAGACAUAGUAAACACAUGAAUAUAGGACUUUACAUAUAAAAGGUUUUAUUGUAAAGAUACGUUAAAUAUAAAUUUCAUUAGUCUUGUUUUGUUAAAAAUAAAGCGAAAUAUUAUAUCGUUUCCUCUGUAGCAUUCACAAGCUGGUGGUCGGUCAUAACACAGCCGAGUUAGCAGCUCACAAUAGAACAAGCAAAACCCAGGUAAAAGUUUUUGUACCACCCAUUCACCUUGCGAAAACCGUCUUACUUUAAAUUAAUGUAAUAACGUCUGACAGCGCAUCCAUUGACAGUUUUAUUGAGUUUGUUUCAUAAACAAGCAAUAAACAUGCAUAACAUUAUGAACUAUUGAGGUAAAUGGUGAUAAGUUCUAUCAAUGGAAUAUAAUUAUAGUCUGUCCUAUGGCCGAGGCGAUCGUUCGAUAUCAGCGUACUUCAUUACAUGAGAGAUUGCUGUUUUUAAUAUUUUCGCUCGGAAUAGUGUAAAUGACGUGUUACAUAAGCGGUUCAUUCGAUUUAGCUGUAGUAGGCAGUAGUAUGACAUCAGGCGGUCCCGUAUGGUUAUAGCGUUAUCGCUCGUCCUUGACACAGAGACGCUGCGUGCACAACGCGCCUUAUUGUCGCUGCAACCUUGCGGAAAUCGCUCUCUUAUAUAUUUAAUUGAUACUCCGGUAUCAACGACCAGUCUACACUCUACGUACACUAUAACAUCCACCGAGGCGGUGUGAAUACUCUGCUAGCCACAUAAGCACACGUGUAGCUGUAGUAUGCCUUAUCAAUGGGGAGUAUUUUUAACUUUAGAUGUGGUAGGAUCGAGAUGCUCAGCAGCAGGACGAAAGUGGGCGGCGUGGUACGACUCUCGCCGACCGGAAACCUAAUUCCCGGAUGCGGCCGCGGGGGAUCUCGCCGGAAGCUCGAUAAACGAGCACAUCCGUUGCCGUCGCUCGCGCCGCAAAAUUUGGCACCGCGAGCGCUCGCAGCCCACUUCCGGCCCCCUCCCCCCUCGACGACCCCGUUCGCCUGCGAAAAUAGCGGCCGACCGCUUCGUGUACGCGGUUCAUUCAGUAUGGCCGCCUUCCAUUCAUAAAAAGGCGAGGCGCGUUAUGGGGGACGCGGGCGGCGGGGCGCUGCUCUCCGCCGCCGCUCCCUCGCCCGACGCCAGUGCGGAAUGUGCCAGCGAAUGGAGCGGUCGUUUCGUCGGAGCGUAGCGCUAACGCUCCCGGUUUUCCAUUAAAAUGUGUAUAAGAAUAAGUGCAGUGAAUCCGCACGAGUUCGGAACGGUCACGAGAAUCGCCGUCGUCGAGAUCGGGAGUAGAAAUCAACGAAGAACUUCACCGAGGAAAAAUCUAUUUAGGAAGAAAGCUACUGUAGAGGGAAGACACGAAAAAUGUAAGCUUGGACUUAGAGGAUUAUUUAUAGCAAGAGACCAAUGAAGAUAACCUGAAAUUCACUCGACCUGAUGGAUUGGAUUCGGAUAUAU
This is an RNA transcript of Danaus plexippus (monarch butterfly), 1851 nucleotides long. It is a transcript of the gene named protein sprouty homolog 3, with no coding region annotated. The record is from RefSeq and is a predicted model, not a curated record. Lineage: Eukaryota; Metazoa; Arthropoda; Insecta; Lepidoptera; Nymphalidae. The transcript is spliced from 2 exons.